GCGAGGGUGGUGAAAUUGGUAGACACGCUAGCUUCAGCUGUUAGUAUUCUUACGGAUGUGGGGGUUCAAGUCUCCCCUUUCGCACCA
Molecule: transfer RNA, 87 nt
Filed under: Arsenophonus endosymbiont of Bemisia tabaci Q2
Lineage: Bacteria; Pseudomonadati; Pseudomonadota; Gammaproteobacteria; Enterobacterales; Morganellaceae
Description: tRNA-Ser
Rfam family: tRNA
About the family: Transfer RNA (tRNA) molecules are approximately 80 nucleotides in length. Their secondary structure includes four short double-helical elements and three loops (D, anti-codon, and T loops).
Source: RNAcentral